GGGGGGGUUCUGGACUAUCUCGGGGUCUGGAUUAUAUUCCCUUUGUCUGGACCUUGGGAGAUAACACCUAUUAUCACUGCUGGGGCAGUACUAAUUGCUGGAACAACAUCUCUUUGUCAGGGCCUUGAGAUAUAGGCAGGACCCGAAGAAUGAAGACACAUCUGUCAGCAGAAACUGCAACAGUAAACAGCCUACCUAGGGACAGGGACGAGACCCAAAAAGGAGCAGGAGACCCCAGACCUAAAUAUUACUAUUGGUCCAAACUACUGUGUGAAGGGUGGAGAGCUUAGAUUGGAAAGUAUAAUUGCCCAGGGAUUUCUUUGUUCAGGGUCCCUCUUCAGAGGCACCCAACUCAAGCUGUAAGCACUGCAUGUGUGUCAUUAAAAUUUAUUUAUUUAAUUUGCCUUGAUUUGGCUCCGAACUCUUCAGCGGGAACCUAGGGUCGGACCCUGCUCAAGUUGUAAUUACUGCACGCACAUCACUAAAACUUACUCCCAAGGUGAAGAGGACCAACGGGACGCCGCUGGAUCCAUGGGUGGUGAUAUCUCUUUCUCUUUCUCUCUCUCUUUCUCUCUCUUUCUCUUUCCUCCCCUUCGCCUUUCCCCACCUUUUCUCCCCACUUCGUGGAAAAUAAAGCUAAAAGGUUGUACGAUAUUUGACCGGUUUUAGUGUCUUAAUCUCGUCCUUGGGAUCGUAAUGAAACCCUCCCAAUAUUGGAUCAGGACAUCUAAUUGAUGUCACGGACAGGAUCCCUUGAGACGAGAGUGUUGUACAACCUUAUGGUGUGCUCAGCGAUGGUGUGUGAACGAGACGUGCGGACAAGUACGAAGUGAGUGCGGAGUUCCGAUCCGUGGUUCUGCUCUCCUGCGAGGGAAGCAGCUGGAGAUGAACGAAGUGGCGGCGAUCUGACCAAGAUGCACCUACUGCUCUGGACCAUCCUGAUUCAAGGAUGCAUCCACGAAGGUGAUGAACGACCACUCCCUCUACCUUCCCCCAACCCAUUUAAUCCCUUCGAGAACAACGAAUUCGUGUUGCUGGUGAAAGCAGUAAGCCGAACUUUCAGUUGAAGCCACUGCUGGGUUUGCGGAGGACCACUAGUGUUAUCCAGUUGGCCAUGGACAUCCACAUCCCUCACGCCAGACCAGAUCGUAAGCAGUUAUAGCGAAACUGCGAAUGGCACGUGGGACGACAGUGGGACCUGGCCAAUUCAGUUUCCAACCAUGGGGCAAUAUUGUUUAAAUCGUACCCAGGAGGGAGGGAUCAAAGUGGGGGGAGGUAAAUGUCAAUGGACACUCACUUCUAAGUUGCUUGAUUAAAAACAGAAAUCUCUA
Long non-coding RNA from Dromaius novaehollandiae (emu), 1331 nucleotides. RefSeq lists it as uncharacterized. NCBI's taxonomy places the organism in Eukaryota, Metazoa, Chordata, Aves, Casuariiformes, Dromaiidae. The record is from RefSeq and is a predicted model, not a curated record. The transcript has 2 exons.